Molecule: long non-coding RNA, 896 nt
Organism: Drosophila miranda
Lineage: Eukaryota; Metazoa; Arthropoda; Insecta; Diptera; Drosophilidae
Exons: 2
Source: RefSeq, a predicted model, not a curated record
CUUCGUGCUGCCGCUGCUGCUGGUUGCUGGCUUCUCUUAGUUAUUCCGUUGUCGUCGACGUUACCUGGAAUAAAGUAAAGCAGAGGGCGCCGCGAUAACGUUGCGGCCACAUCCCCGGAUUAUUUAGUACGUGUGUGUAUGUAUGUAUUUGCCUUUAUCAUCUGACUCGAAAUGCGACUGCGACGACGACUAUGACUAUGGGGGGCGAUGACGACAACGUUUCGCUGGCCACGCGCACGCACAUGCUCCACCUAGUAUUCUCCCUCCCCCCGGGUUAAGGGCGGCGGCACCUAACUAACUAAUCGCCUAAUAAAUUUCAUUUCAAUAAAAUAGUUUACCCUCGUCCACUCUCGCUCUCGCCAUCCCCCUUCCACUUCCACUUCCCCUCUCGCUCUUUCUAUUUCCAUCUGGGAAAUUGUGAAUUUAAUACGCAUGUUUCUUGCCAGAGCAGUCCUACUGCAAUUUCUCCAGUUAUAAUGAAAUUAAAACUAAAGUCUGCUCUCGACGGGGAUGAAAAUCCUGUUUUUCGAUUAAAGCAAGGGAAGAAAGCUGGCGCUGGCGCUGCCGCCUCAGCGGCUGCCGCAGGGCAUUGUAUCCGUUUCACUUCAUCUACGUCGCUCGUGUAUACGUGUGCUUCUGUGUGUGUGUGUGUUUGGGGUUGCUCUGCGGAUGUCAACUGAAGGACUUGGACUGCUGCAAAGUCGGUCGUGUAUCGCUGUAGUCCCUCAGCUGUGGCACCGGAGUAGGUGCAGCUGGGGCCAAAGUCUCACCAGGGUCUGACCGGUCAGCGGGUCGAAAGUUCAAUGUGGGAAGACGAAAAGGCUGGGUAACUUUUUUGAAAUUUAAAAGAGACUUUUGCCAAAUUGGCCCGAAUUCAUAGCCAUCUUUCGUGUUUA